This 465-nucleotide ribosomal RNA is filed under the name Vreelandella stevensii. RNAcentral's name for it is "partial 16S ribosomal RNA". It matches the Rfam family "Bacterial small subunit ribosomal RNA", at positions 338 to 795 of the family's 1533-position model. The record is from RNAcentral. Lineage: Bacteria; Pseudomonadati; Pseudomonadota; Gammaproteobacteria; Oceanospirillales; Halomonadaceae.
CCUACGGGGGGCAGCAGUGGGGAAUAUUGGACAAUGGGGGCAACCCUGAUCCAGCCAUGCCGCGUGUGUGAAGAAGGCCCUCGGGUUGUAAAGCACUUUCAGUGAGGAAGAACGCCUGGUGGUUAAUACCCAUCAGGAAAGACAUCACUCACAGAAGAAGCACCGGCUAACUCCGUGCCAGCAGCCGCGGUAAUACGGAGGGUGCGAGCGUUAAUCGGAAUUACUGGGCGUAAAGCGCGCGUAGGUGGCUUGAUAAGCCGGUUGUGAAAGCCCCGGGCUCAACCUGGGAACGGCAUCCGGAACUGUCAAGCUAGGGUGCAGGAGAGGAAGGUAGAAUUCCCGGUGUAGCGGUGAAAUGCGUAGAGAUCGGGAGGAAUAACAGUGGCGAAGGCGGCCUUCUGGACUGACACUGACACUGAGGUGCGAAAGCGUGGGUAGCAAACAGGAUUAGAUACCCCAGUAGUC